AAGCCUGUACUCUCAGGGAUCAUUUCUAUAGUUCAUUACUAGAGAAGUCUAUGUAUAGAGCACCCAAGAGCAUGAGGCAGAGAGGCAGCGUUCCCUCCUGAGUGGGAAGCUGGCUCUAGGUGCUGUUUGCUACAGCUGCCUUUUACCAUUGAUGAUGACCCUUCUUCUCUUCAUUUGUGAGUGGGGGAGGGAGGGAAGAUAGUCUGGUUGGA
Small nucleolar RNA from Meriones unguiculatus (Mongolian gerbil), 212 nucleotides. Its record names the gene U3. It matches the Rfam family "Small nucleolar RNA U3". From Rfam's summary of the family: Small nucleolar RNAs (snoRNAs) are involved in the processing and modification of rRNA in the nucleolus. There are two main classes of snoRNAs: the box C/D class, and the box H/ACA class. U3 snoRNA is a member of the box C/D class. NCBI's taxonomy places the organism in Eukaryota, Metazoa, Chordata, Mammalia, Rodentia, Muridae. The record is from Ensembl.